GCCGUGACAUGGCCACCCUGUGACACUACACACAGUCACACACAGUCACACACACAGUCACACAGUGAGUGUGUGUAGUGUGUGUGUGAGUGAGAGGUGAGCACGCAUGCCUUCCUCUAGAUGCCGUGACAUGGCCACCCUGUGACACUACACACAGUCACACACAGUCACACACACAGUCACACAGUGAGUGUGUGUAGUGUGUGUGUGAGUGAGAGGUGAGCACGCAUGCCUUCCUCUAGAUGCCGUGACAUGGCCACCCUGUGACACUACACACAGUCAC
This is a non-coding RNA of Petromyzon marinus (sea lamprey), 283 nucleotides long. Lineage: Eukaryota; Metazoa; Chordata; Hyperoartia; Petromyzontiformes; Petromyzontidae. The record is from RefSeq and is a predicted model, not a curated record.